AGGUCAAAUGGUAGGAUAUGUCUUUAGAUAGGGAAGAAGGGAUGCCAAAUUCACAGCUGUGCAAAUAUCCUGUGCCCGUGUGUGAAGAUCAUUUCAAACAGACAACUCAGGAUGUGCCAGAGUUGGUUCAAGAUGGAGCAAAAAUAAUUCACACCACUUCAGUGUGUACUGCCAGGCCUGGGUAAAUAAUUGAUGUUAUCCUGAGGCGGAUGCAGCUGGUCAUUGAUCAAAACAUGGCUCAAUUUUCAAGAAUUGGAGUUGCGGGAAACAGGGAAUGGAAUUUAGCCUUCAAAGUCUGUGAGUUUCACUGGAUGACUUUGCAGAGGAGGUGAACAAAUCAGUGUGCUAAAGUGGAUGAAGUUCAGAAGCAAGAAUGUAAUUGCAAAAUUGCAAAACUAGCAGUAUGAAGUAAGGAAUCACCGGUAGACUGAAGUCUUUCAUCUUUGAUAUUUGAUAUCUGUAAAGGAUCCCAGGAUGGCACAGGACAACAAGAAGGCCUCCUGCACUAUGUGGAACAAGGAUGCACAUGCACACACAUGCACGCCACUCCAAGAGGACUCCGAGAACUGGUGACAGUACUCCAUUUUCUAAGCUCGAAUUCAUGUGUGUCCUGAGACAUCAGAGGGAAAUAUCUGAGGUGGAGGAAGGAACUGAGGAGAGACAGGAAUGCUGUGCAAAUGUGAGAUCUGGGUUUAAUAACAUCCAUGGACAACCCAUGCAAAAUAAGAAACAGCAGAAAAAAGCAUACUUUGAAGAGCAAAAUAUUUGGGUGAAUUGCCUCUUAUAUUUGGAGAAGCUCAGGACUUGGAAUUCUCUGAAGCAUAAACUAGCUCAUCUUCUUCUCCCCAGAGAACCCGUGAGUAAGUGGUGUGCAAAAGUUGUAAUUAUAUUGAGGUGUUUAAUCCACAGUAUGUUGGGCCACAUGGCACUUCCCUAUGU
This 939-nucleotide long non-coding RNA is filed under the name Meleagris gallopavo (turkey). Its description in RNAcentral is "lncRNA (ENSMGAG00000019416.1)". Lineage: Eukaryota; Metazoa; Chordata; Aves; Galliformes; Phasianidae. The record is from RNAcentral.